UGAGAAAGUACAAAUGUGCUCACAUUAUGGU
RNAcentral lists this non-coding RNA (31 nucleotides) under Rattus norvegicus (Norway rat). Lineage: Eukaryota; Metazoa; Chordata; Mammalia; Rodentia; Muridae. The record is from RNAcentral.